Sinocyclocheilus grahami is the source of this 2312-nucleotide RNA transcript. It is a transcript of the gene named solute carrier family 9 member A1b, with no coding region annotated. The transcript is spliced from 12 exons. Lineage: Eukaryota; Metazoa; Chordata; Actinopteri; Cypriniformes; Cyprinidae. The record is from RefSeq and is a predicted model, not a curated record.
GGCUGUCACGCUCAAACAUCGCGAUACGAGUCUUGCUGGAGUUGAAGUUUUGCGGGUGUUUCGUGUGUGAGAGUGAAGGACUGACAGUGAAGAUGAAGAAGAGGAUGAAGAUGCUGCUGCUGCUCGGGUUUUGUUGCGGACUGGUGUUUGGUGAUCGGAAUCGCUCGGAUCCUCAUGAUCAGAGAGUUUUUCCAGUCCUAUCGAUUAAUUAUGAUUAUGUUCAGAUGCCGUUCGAGGUCUCGCUCUGGAUUCUGCUCGCGUCACUCAUGAAGCUGGGCUUCCACCUGCUCCCGGUUCUGUCGGGUGUGGUUCCGGAGAGCUGUCUGCUGAUCGUGGUGGGGCUGCUGGUGGGGGGUCUGAUCCGUGUGAUGGGGAAGAACCCGCCGGUGCUCGACUCGCAGCUCUUCUUCCUGUGCCUGCUGCCGCCCAUCAUCCUGGACGCAGGCUACUUCCUGCCCAUCCGGCCCUUCACCGAGAACGCCGGCACCAUCCUGACCUUCGCGGUGCUGGGGACGCUGUGGAACGUCUUCUUCAUGGGAGCGGUGCUGUACGGAGCCUGUCGUCUGGAGGCCGGCCGCCUGGCGUCUGUCGACCUGCUGUCCUGCCUGCUGUUCGGCUCCAUCGUGUCCGCCGUGGAUCCGGUGGCUGUUCUCGCCGUCUUCGAGGAGAUCCACAUCAACGAGCUGCUGCACAUCCUGGUGUUCGGAGAGUCUCUGCUGAACGACGCCGUGACCGUGGUCCUGUAUCAUUUGUUUGAGGAGUUUGCGCACGCGGGCGAGGUGACGGUGGGCGACGUGUUUCUGGGCGUGGUGUGUUUUUUCGUGGUGGCGCUGGGUGGAGUGCUGGUGGGAGGCGUGUACGGAGUGCUGGCGGCCUUCACCUCACGCUUCACGUCGCACACGCGUGUGAUCGAGCCCCUGUUCGUCUUCCUCUACAGCUACAUGGCGUACCUGUCGGCCGAGGUCUUCCACCUGUCUGGCAUCAUGGCGCUCAUAGCGUGCGGCGUGGUCAUGCGGCCCUACGUGGAGGCCAACAUCUCCCACAAAUCCUACACCACCAUCAAGUACUUCCUGAAGAUGUGGAGCAGCGUGAGCGAGACCCUGAUCUUCAUCUUCCUGGGCGUGUCGACGGUGGCCGGGCCGCACGCCUGGAACUGGACCUUCGUGAGCAUCACCAUCGUCCUGUGCCUGCUGUCCAGGGUUCUGGGUGUGGUCGGUUUGACGUACAUCAUUAAUAAGUACCGUAUGGUGAAGCUGAGCGGUAAGGAUCAGUUCAUCGUGGCGUACGGCGGACUGAGGGGCGCUAUCGCCUUCUCUUUAGCGUUUCUGCUGUCCAGCGACAACUUUCCCAUGAAGGACAUGUUUCUGACGGCCAUCAUCACCGUCAUCUUCUUCACCGUGUUCGUGCAGGGAAUGACGAUCCGACCCCUCGUUGACCUUCUGGCUGUCAAGAAGAGGAAACAAAGCAAAUGCUCAAUAAACGAGGAGAUUCACACUCAGUUUCUGGAGCAUCUGCUGGCUGGAAUCGAGGGCGUGUGUGGACACUACGGACACCAUCACUGGAGACACAAGCUGAAUCGCUUUAAUAAGCGCUACAUCAAGCGCUGUCUGAUCGGUGGAGAGCGAUCGCAGGAGCCACAGCUCAUCUCCUUCUACAACAAGAUGGAGCUCAAACAGGCCCUGAUGCUGCUGGAGAGCAACAGUUCAGCCAAUCUGAGCGCAGGAGUCACUGCAGCCAUACCACGGCAGCGCAGCCGGAAAACGCUCAACAUCUCUAAAGAACGAGAAGAAGAAAUCAGGAAGAUCCUGCGAGGAAACCUGCAGAAGACCCGACAGAGACUGCGCUCGUACAGCCGGCACACGCUGAAGCCCGACGCGGAGGACGACGACUGGAGCGAGACGCGGCUCAGGAAGCAGCGCGUGGAGAUGGAGAGAAGAAUGAGCCACUUCCUGACGGUUCCUGCGCCUCCAGAGUCUCCUCCAGCGAGAAGAGCGCGCGUCGAGUGCGGUGAGCCUCUCAGAUCUGACCAGGGCUCUUCUCUGACUGCAGUGUUUGAGCUGUGAAUGCUGACGCUCUCCUGCAGACAGACCCCCGAGCUGAGGACACAGACCCAGCUGUAAAGCCCGAGGCACUGAAGAGACUCCUCUGAGGCUGAAGCAUCGCUGUGGAGACUCAUUAACUCCAUCAUCAUCAUCAUCAUCAUCAUCAUCACAGGCACAAACACAGGAGCACAUCUCCUCUUCUGCUCGGCUCGCACCGCUGCUGGAUGAUGGCUGUGGACUUCAGUGGAUGCUGGAAGCUGUAUGAGCAGG